RNAcentral lists this ribosomal RNA (468 nucleotides) under uncultured bacterium. Its description in RNAcentral is "partial 16S ribosomal RNA". It matches the Rfam family "Bacterial small subunit ribosomal RNA", at positions 28 to 507 of the family's 1533-position model. The record is from RNAcentral.
GACGAACGCUGGCGGCGUGCUUAACACAUGCAAGUCGAACGGAAAGGCCCUGCUUUUGUGGGGUGCUCGAGUGGCGAACGGGUGAGUAACACGUGAGUAACCUGCCCUUGACUUUGGGAUAACUUCAGGAAACUGGGUCUAAUACCGGAUAUGAGCUCCUGCUGCAUGGUGUGGGUUGGAAAGUUUCGGCGGUUGGGGAUGGACUCGCGGCUUAUCAGCUUGUUGGUGGGGUAGUGGCUUACCAAGGCUUUGACGGGUAGCCGGCCUGAGAGGGUGACCGGCCACAUUGGGACUGAGAUAGGGCCAAGACUCGUACGGGAGGCAGCAGUGGGGAAUAUUGCACAAUGGGCGGAAGCAUGAUGAAGCAACGCCGCGUGCGGGAUGACGGCCUUCGGGUUGUAAACAGCUUUCGACUGUGACGAAGAGUGAGUGACGGUAAUGGGUAAAGAAGCACCGGCUAACUACGUG